Molecule: long non-coding RNA, 582 nt
Organism: Magnolia sinica
Lineage: Eukaryota; Viridiplantae; Streptophyta; Magnoliopsida; Magnoliales; Magnoliaceae
Exons: 3
Source: RefSeq, a predicted model, not a curated record
UAGAGGUCAUAAUUUCUAAUACAUAAUUAUGAUUAACUAAAAUGAGAUGAACUCAUUUUCAGGCAUUCAGGCUCUAAAUAUUUCUGUCAAAAAGUAUUUUGCCACUACAGAUUUUACUAGCCAUCAUAACCUUCUUUGAUAUCUCUACCAAGCACAUCCUUGUGCUACUUAUUUUGAUUGGUUUUCUAUGCAGGCAUGGAAUGAGCAGCAUAGAUCUGGGAUUUCAAAAGGUAGACUAGAAGGCAUGGUUCGAUUGUUUACAGCGGAAACAAAUCACUCUUGUUGAUAAUGAUGGUGUCAAGUUAAAGUUUCUCUUGUGGGGAGAGCAGGUUCUCCUUGCGAAUCUUUUCAGUGUAGGAAGUAUGCUUGCACUGGAUAGACCUUUCAUUGCAAAUGUUAUAGACAGUGAUAUGCAAACAAAUGCUGAAAUCUGUCUUGAAUAUGGUAGUGCCAUGCAGUUAUAUUUGGUCCCCUUUAUUCAACAUGAAGAGCAGGUACUUGUAGCAUCCACACCAAAUUGGUGUCAAGGAUCAAGGCUGUUGAAUGGAUUGAGUCAAAGUCAAGGUCCUAAAGUUUCUCAAG